GACGAACGCUGGCGGCGUGCCUAAUACAUGCCAGUCGAACGCACAGUUUAUACCGUAGCUUGCUACACCAUAGACUGUGAGUUGCGAACGGGUGAGUAACGCGUAGGUAACCUGCCUGGUAGCGGGGGAUAACUAUUGGAAACGAUAGCUAAUACCGCAUAAUAUUGAUUAUUGCAUGAUAAUUAAUUGAAAGGUGCAAUUGCACCACUACCAGAUGGACCUGCGUUGUAUUAGCUAGUAGGUGAGGUAACGGCUCACCUAGGCGACGAUACAUAGCCGACCUGAGAGGGUGAUCGGCCACACUGGGACUGAGACACGGCCCAGACUCCUACGGGAGGCAGCAGUAGGGAAUCUUCGGCAAUGGACGAAAGUCUGACCGAGCAACGCCGCGUGAGUGAAGAAGGGUUUCGGAUCGUAAAGCUCUGUUGUAAGAGAAGAACGGGUGUGAGAGUGGAAAGUUCACACUGUGACGGUAGCUUACCAGAAAGGGACGGCUAACUACGUG
Molecule: ribosomal RNA, 505 nt
Filed under: uncultured bacterium
Lineage: Bacteria
Description: partial 16S ribosomal RNA
Rfam family: Bacterial small subunit ribosomal RNA
Source: RNAcentral